RNAcentral lists this transfer RNA (65 nucleotides) under Idgia sp. n. nr. granulipennis Yunnan. RNAcentral describes it as "tRNA-Leu". It matches the Rfam family "tRNA". From Rfam's summary of the family: Transfer RNA (tRNA) molecules are approximately 80 nucleotides in length. Their secondary structure includes four short double-helical elements and three loops (D, anti-codon, and T loops). Lineage: Eukaryota; Metazoa; Arthropoda; Insecta; Coleoptera; Prionoceridae. The record is from RNAcentral.
UUCUAAUAUGGCAGAAUAGUGCACUGGAUUUAAACCCCAAAUAUAAAGACUCUCUUUUUUUAGAA